RNAcentral lists this ribosomal RNA (253 nucleotides) under uncultured bacterium. RNAcentral describes it as "partial 16S ribosomal RNA". It matches the Rfam family "Bacterial small subunit ribosomal RNA", at positions 524 to 776 of the family's 1533-position model. The record is from RNAcentral.
UACAGAGGUCUCAAGCGUUGUUCGGAUUCAUUGGGCGUAAAGGGCGUGUAGGUGGCGCCGUAAGUCGGGUGUGAAAUUUCGGAGCUUAACUCCGAAACUGCAUUCGAUACUGCGGUGCUUGAGGACUGGAGAGGAGACUGGAAUUCAUGGUGUAGCAGUGAAAUGCGUAGAGAUCAUGAGGAAGACCAGUGGCGAAGGCGGGUCUCUGGACAGUUCCUGACACUGAGGCGCGAAAGCGUGGGGAGCAAACAGG